AGGAGCUUGCUCUUUCCGGAUGAGUUGCGAACGGGUGAGUAACGCGUAGGUAACCUGCCUGGUAGCGGGGGAUAACUAUUGGAAACGAUAGCUAAUACCGCAUAACAGUAGAUAUUGCAUGAUAUCUGCUUGAAAGGUGCAAUUGCAUCACUACCAGAUGGACCUGCGUUGAAUUAGCUAGUUGGUGAGGUAACGGCUCACCAAGGCGACGAUACAUAGCCGACCUGAGAGGGUGAUCGGCCACACUGGGACUGAGACACGGCCCAGACUCCUACGGGAGGCAGCAGUAGGGAAUCUUCGGCAAUGGACGGAAGUCUGACCGAGCAACGCCGCGUGAGUGAAGAAGGUUUUCGGAUCGUAAAGCUCUGUUGUAAGAGAAGAACGAGUGUGAGAGUGGAAAGUUCACACUGUGACGGUAUCUUACCAGAAAGGGACGGCUAACUACGUGCCAGCAGCCGCGGUAAUACGUAGGUCCCGAGCGUUAUCCGGAUUUAUUGGGCGUAAAGCGAGCGCAGGCGGUUAGAUAAGUCUGAAGUUAAAGGCUGUGGCUUAACCAUAGUACGCUUUGGAAACUGUUUAACUUGAGUGCAAGAGGGGAGAGUGGAAUUCCAUGUGUAGCGGUGAAAUGCGUAGAUAUAUGG
RNAcentral lists this ribosomal RNA (641 nucleotides) under uncultured Bacilli bacterium. Its description in RNAcentral is "bacterial SSU rRNA". It matches the Rfam family "Bacterial small subunit ribosomal RNA", at positions 74 to 701 of the family's 1533-position model. Lineage: Bacteria; Bacillati; Bacillota; Bacilli. The record is from RNAcentral.